RNAcentral lists this ribosomal RNA (429 nucleotides) under Bacillota bacterium. RNAcentral describes it as "Firmicutes bacterium partial 16S ribosomal RNA". It matches the Rfam family "Bacterial small subunit ribosomal RNA", at positions 355 to 776 of the family's 1533-position model. The record is from RNAcentral. Lineage: Bacteria; Bacillati; Bacillota.
UGGGGAAUUUUGGACAAUGGGGGCAACCCUGAUCCAGCAAUGCCGCGUGUGUGAAGAAGGCCUUCGGGUUGUAAAGCACUUUUGUCCGGAAAGAAAACUUCGGGGCUAAUACCCCUGGAGGAUGACGGUACCGGAAGAAUAAGCACCGGCUAACUACGUGCCAGCAGCCGCGGUAAUACGUAGGGUGCGAGCGUUAAUCGGAAUUACUGGGCGUAAAGCGUGCGCAGGCGGUGCUGUAAGACCGAUGUGAAAUCCCCGGGCUUAACCUGGGAACUGCAUUGGGGACUGCAGCGCUUGAGUAUGGCAGAUGGGGGUGGCAUUCCACGUGUAGCAGUGAAAUGCGUAGAGAUGUGGAGGAACACCGAUGGCGAAGGCAGCCCCCUGGGCCAAUACUGACGCUCAUGCACGAAAGCGUGGGGAGCAAACAGG